AAUGGUUUCCUAUUUCGCAGAAACUGAUUUUGAAAAAAAUAAAAAUAAAAUAAAAUUUAAAGCUUAUCUUUUCAGAACUAGCAACAAACUCAAUUUGAAAUUGGAUCUUAUCUUCUGAAUAUUCUAGAGCAAUUAAACCUAAGAUUUCUAAGUUAUAUAUAUUCUAAAUUCCAAUUGAUCUGCCGUAUACAAACACUAUCAAAUAAUACCCAUCUCUUUCAACCUUUCACAAGUCGUCAUUCCCGACCGAUAUAUCAACGACGGAGGCUACUAGGUGAACAACUUGGAGGCUACUUAUCUUGAGAUUUACGCGCAACUCAAGGUUGGUAAGAGGGCACUCGGUUACGUGUGAGGAGACGUUAGAAUAAUCACGUAGCUAAGACAUUUUAGUUAACUCUAAACUUAUUUAUUUCCCUUUUUAAAUUAUGUUUUAAAGUGUUUUAUGGUUUGGAUGUAACGAAUAUUUAAUUCUUUGUUGCCACUUAGCUCACCUAGUUAUAAAAUGGUAUUUUUGUUUUUGCUUUGCACUUGUUUUCUAUGGAAAAAUAAGUGUAGCAGUAACACUCCCAAGGUUCGAUGGUGGGUUUUGAAAAGAAAAGAGUUACUCUUAUUGUUUACAAUGACC
Long non-coding RNA from Chenopodium quinoa (quinoa), 625 nucleotides. RefSeq lists it as uncharacterized. Lineage: Eukaryota; Viridiplantae; Streptophyta; Magnoliopsida; Caryophyllales; Amaranthaceae. The record is from RefSeq and is a predicted model, not a curated record. The transcript is spliced from 3 exons.